RNAcentral lists this transfer RNA (72 nucleotides) under Ictidomys tridecemlineatus (thirteen-lined ground squirrel). RNAcentral's name for it is "Spermophilus tridecemlineatus (thirteen-lined ground squirrel) tRNA". It matches the Rfam family "tRNA". From Rfam's summary of the family: Transfer RNA (tRNA) molecules are approximately 80 nucleotides in length. Their secondary structure includes four short double-helical elements and three loops (D, anti-codon, and T loops). The record is from Rfam by way of RNAcentral. Lineage: Eukaryota; Metazoa; Chordata; Mammalia; Rodentia; Sciuridae.
GGCGAUGUAGCUCAGGGGUAGAGCACUUGCCUAGCAUGUGUGAAACCCUAGGUUCAAUCUCUAGUACUGUUA